GUGCCAGCAGCCGCGGUAAUACGAAGGUGGCAAGCGUUGUUCGGAUUUACUGGGCGUACAGGGUGCGUAGGCGGUUCGGUAAGCCCUUCGGGAAAACUCCAGGCUCAACCUGGAAAGUUCGGGGGGGACUGCCGUGCUAGAGGACGGGAGAGGAGCGCGGAAUUCCCGGUGUAGCGGUGAAAUGCGUAGAGAUCGGGAGGAAGGCCGGUGGCGAAGGCGGCGCUCUGGAACGUUCCUGACGCUGAGGCACGAAAGCGUGGGGAGCAAACAGGAUUAGAUACCCCAGUAGUCC
This 292-nucleotide ribosomal RNA is filed under the name uncultured bacterium. RNAcentral describes it as "partial 16S ribosomal RNA". It matches the Rfam family "Bacterial small subunit ribosomal RNA", at positions 505 to 796 of the family's 1533-position model. The record is from RNAcentral.